CUUCUCACCUCGUCACCUACCUUUUCCAACCUUAUCCCUUCACUAUCUUCCCACUGCUCCCUAUUCCAUGGCAGCCACAAGCCCACAACACUCUCUACCUCCUCAGGCCGGCCCUCCUCUUCGUCUCCACCGCCGACGCGAGGGCUCGCACUCUCCCCACUCUUCUCAACCCCUCCACAUCGAAUCGGUCGCAGAAGUGCCCGAGGAUCUGCUCGAGCUCGGCAUGGUCGCUGGGCGUGGGACGAAGGCCGAUGCGGAGGCGCGGGAUUCAUCUCCAUCAGAUCGGUGGCCGUGGAAAUCAUGCGUCGCAACCUCCGCGCCCGGUGCCUUCCUCUCCAUCUCGUUCGUCGACAGCUCCCACCACCUUGUGCAUGCGACUGCGCUGCACCCUGCCCUGCCCAGAUACGGCAGCAGUGCCGCAGUGGCUGGUCCCCUACUCCCCUCCAAGUGCAAGCCGGCUCCAUUAGACGAUCUAUUCCCCACUUCAGCUUUCAUAUCUGCUUAUUUCAUAUCCCCAUUACCCACUUCUGCUAAUCGCUAAUUGCUAUCCAUUCAUGUAUAGUACAUAUGUAGCUCAGUAGUCUAGGUUUAAGCAUGAGAGUCAUUUUAGAAUCGGGGAGAAAAAUUAGAAGUUGGGGUGAUCCUAUUUUGGUCUGCCUAAUCUUGGAGUAAGCUGUUCGAUUAGACGUUCUUAACUUAGUUGCGGCAGCUGUUAUGAGUGGGGAUUGCAGUUAGUUAAUAUUCUUCAGGCAACCAUGCGGCGAUAAAGCUGAUUGAUUGGUGGAUUUGAAUUCUGGGUGGCUAGGGGCAAUAGGGACCAAGACGGAUGAGGUUGAUUAGGCUUGAUCCUGCCAAAGAAAUUUACUUCUAUUUUGAAAAAUGAACACAUGUUCUUAGAUGUGUAGGGUUAAGUUUCCAAAUGUGAGGUUUAUAGCAAAUCAAAGAGGAUCAAGAGAAGCAUAUAGUAUGAUAAUACAGUAUAAGCAUGUAUGGCUGUAGGAUAAUACAGUAUGAAGAAUGAUGAUGGUAUGGUUCUCAUAUAGAGGACAGUGGUUGGCUCAAAGAGUUUACCACCUAAAAAAUUUCCUUUCUUGGAAUAACCAUCUCUGGCAUCUUCAGUACUACUUACGGCAGCUGCGCAAGUGAUAUUCAUGAUAUAGCACAACCUUUUAGAUAUAUUUCUUGUUGUCCCGGACCCCCUGUUAAAACAGAAGUGCUUUUGCAGGCUUACAAGAAAUGGAUUUUGAGGACCAUCUAACUAUCUAAGAAUCAUGGAAUUCGUUCCAUCCUAAAUUUUUGGGACUCUGGAAUAAACACAAAGAUGGGAAUGGGGAUGCAUACCUGUCUGCCAUACACAUUGACAGGUUUUCAAUACUCAUCCUGAAGCUUUUCAGUGUUGUACAGAAGAAGUAAUUGACAGGUUUACUUCAUGAUAGUCUUGGAUUUGGUUUGGCCAAAAUGAUCAGGUGCGUUGCCUGAGGAGUUUGUCGGCGCCUAUGUCGGCGGCUGCGGAAGGCGGCGAUGGCCAAAACUGGCUGGGCGGCAAUGGUGCAAUAGUGGCUUGCGGCGCCGACGUCUCACUGCAGUGUGCGUCUGAACAGCGACAUCGAAGAAAGACACUAAGAUUAACUGGGAUGGAACUGACCAUGUAUUGCGCACAAGAGGAUAGUCCGCACCUGCGUUCGCGAGAAGCUCUUCGGCGUGGUCGUCGUCCACUGCGAUGGCGCAGGACAGGCUCUGCGGCUGCGACGUAUGUCCCGGUGGGCAAGGGUAGGAAGAUCCAGUUGAUUCCCGUAAGUUUAGCCAUUUGUUGUUAGGCGGACGUGCUUGAUUGCCGUUAAUUGUGGCUAAUUUUCUGCAGUUUAGCCAUUCGUUGUUAGGACGUGAACAGAAUUGGUGGAACCGUUCUGAUCUUGUGCGAGCGUGGGUCCGGCAGAGUUUUCGUCCGCCAUGUUUUCUUGUUUAAUAGUAGUGUAGAUCAAUCCCCGAAUCCCGUCCUUUCCUUAUUGUUACGGGACAACUUCUCACUUUCCUA
Molecule: long non-coding RNA, 2035 nt
Organism: Triticum dicoccoides
Lineage: Eukaryota; Viridiplantae; Streptophyta; Magnoliopsida; Poales; Poaceae
Exons: 2
Source: RefSeq, a predicted model, not a curated record